UAGGGAAUCUUCCACAAUGGACGCAAGUCUGAUGGAGCAACGCCGCGUGAGUGAAGAAGGUUUUCGGAUCGUAAAGCCCUGUUGUUGGUGAAGAAGGAUAGAGGUAGUAACUGGCCUUUAUUUGACGGUAAUCAACCAGAAAGUCACGGCUAACUACGUGCCAGCAGCCGCGGUAAUACGUAGGUGGCAAGCGUUGUCCGGAUUUAUUGGGCGUAAAGCGAGCGCAGGCGGAAGAAUAAGUCUGAUGUGAAAGCCCUCGGCUUAACCGGGGAACUGCAUCGGAAACUGUUUUUCUUGAGUGCAGAAGAGGAGAGUGGAAUUCCAGGUGUAACGGUGGAAUGCGUAGGUAUAUGGAAGAACACCAGUGGCGAAGGCGACUCUCUGGUCUGCAACUGAAGCUGAGGCUCGAAAGCAUGGGUAGCGAACAGG
Molecule: ribosomal RNA, 429 nt
Filed under: bacterium
Lineage: Bacteria
Description: partial 16S ribosomal RNA
Rfam family: Bacterial small subunit ribosomal RNA
Source: RNAcentral